UGUCUUCAGGGCGGGGUGAAAGUCCCCACCGGCGGUAAUGCGGAUAUAUUCCGACAAGCCCGCGAGCGUAAAGCAUGAUACCGGUGCGAUUCCGGAGCCGACGGUAAAGUCCGGAUGAAAGAAGAG
RNAcentral lists this non-coding RNA (126 nucleotides) under human gut metagenome. Its description in RNAcentral is "FMN riboswitch (RFN element)". It matches the Rfam family "FMN riboswitch aptamer (RFN element)". Rfam says of the family: The RFN element is a highly conserved domain that is found frequently in the 5'-untranslated regions of prokaryotic mRNAs that encode for flavin mononucleotide (FMN) biosynthesis and transport proteins. This element is a metabolite-dependent riboswitch that directly binds FMN in the absence of proteins. The record is from RNAcentral.